UCUUUACAUUGUAAUCUGUAGUAUUUUAAUUUGCUAUAAACCUCUUAAUAAUACUAGACAAUAUGUGACCUUUUACACUCAUUCUAUGUGCUAUAAAAUUACUAUUUCCUCUGAUUCUAUUAAAUCCUUUCAAACCACUAGAGAACUCCCUGAUUUGUACUUAACAGAGCUUUUCAUGUAUUAAUAAGUGGAGUUACCUGGCUAUCAAUAAGUACUUGUUUAACUAAAGUGACUAAGUUAAAGACUUGUAGAAGUUAGAAAGGGCUUUCUGAAGCUGAUAAUUCAACACCCUAAUUUGUGACUCGAAGGAUCAGAUGCAGAGUAGUUCAAGACUUGAUGUUUUUGUUCAGGGUAAGGUAGUAAUUUAGUGACAGAAUCCAGGUAACUCAAAUCCUCAAACUAGAGAAAAAUUAUUAAGAUUUCUUGACAUUUAUUGUUAUUCCCUACCUUUAGCUUUUACACAGCUAAAUCUACUUGUGGAAGUUCAGCUUCAAAAACUUUUAGCCAUAGUUUCCAAGCUGUGGACUGUGGCUGAGGUUUAUCAACAACCUCGGUUUUCUAAUGUAGUGGAAUUCAAAGUAGAUUAGAUUCCUUCCCUGAGCCAGGAUUCUCUGAGUGCUCAUCUUAACCACUCCUGCCCAACCCCUCAUUCUACAAUAUUGAGCCUUAACUCCUAUUCCUGUCUCCCUGGCCAUCCUUUUUAAUAGUUUGUAUUGAAGUGUCCAUGAAUUAACAACAUUUUGUUUUAAUAGAUAUUCUCACGUCAAGGUGGCAUAAAGUAGUAUAUAUUUCUCAGGAUUGACUUUCCCACUUAAGAAUAUUUGUCUUCACCUCUGUGCAUUAAAAUUUAUUGCUGCGAUUGACAUGACUAAGGUGGCAUAACAUAGUGCUGUGAGCAUAAUCUAGAGCUGGUCUGAAUAAGUCUGAAUCACAGUUCUUCUAUUCAUAACCUUGGGCCACUUAACCUCUCUUGCUUUGUUUUAUAUAUCUUUAAAAUGAGGAUUAAAAUAUUACUAUUAGGAGGAUUAAAGGAAUUAUAAUAUUAUUCAUAAAGUACUGAGAAUCUUGCCUGAUACGUAUAGUAAGAUGCUACAUCAGUGUUAGGUCAUGGAAGGAGCCAGUAAAUUGUUUCAGUAUUUUAAUGUGUGUGUACUUGGGGUUCUGGAGAUACUCAAAGAACAACAUACAUUCCUAGUUUGACCUGAAUGAACCAGGAAUAUUUAAUUAUGUAGCGUGUAUCACAUUUAUUUUUAGAGCCACAUUUUACUGAAAUUAAACCUAGGAACAAUACAUGCAAAACAUGGCUUUUUUGUUUGUUUGUUUGUUUUUGGUGGUUGUUUGCUUUAAAAACCUUGUUUUGUUAAAAAAUAAAAAUAAAAGUUCUUGGUAUUUUGGGGAAGGCAAGUUAGAGAUAGACUUUAAAAGAAACCUAGCUACUGCCAUUUAUAGGUAGUUAUAUGGAUAGCUUACCUUUAGAAGUUAUUGAGUGUGACUUAUCUGCUUAAUAGCAAUUAAAUCCGUUUAAAAUGUUUACCCGGUGUUAAUCAUAAGUCAGGGUUGACAUAGCCAGUUUAAUCUUAUUUGAAAGAAAAAUCUCAGUAAAUUCAUGUUUACAGAUUUUUAAAAAACUGGCUACGAAUGUUUAUUAUAAAAAUCCAUAAUUUUCCAUUUGUUUGCUAUACUAGAAUACUAUGCAGUUGUAAUGAAUAAGCAUUUAUAGUUUCUGCUCCUAAAAAUUGGACUACAGUUUUGUAAGUUUACUCUCAUCUGGUAAGCUUUCCAGAGAUUCAGGGAAGCCAUAGCUUUCCAAGUAUGCAAAUCUUUCAUGUUCAAAGCACUUCCCUCAGGCACAAGAAGAGUAUUUCAGUGACAUGCUUUGCUCUUUUCCCUUAACGUAUCUAACAUGAAGGAGUUUCUCAUUAGGUACACAGCUUAUGUACUUACUGUAGGAUCCACAUUUAUACAUACAGAGAAAUUACCCAUAAUUAAGAUCAGAUAUCUAUUUAUUAAUUAAUUUGACAUUCCUGUAAUAAUUUAUUGGUAAAUAAAUAUCUCUUAACUCAUUGAAUGUGGAUGGCAUAUAUUUUUGGAAAAUGUUUCAAAAUACAUGAAAAAAAUAGCAACCUGAGAAAUUUAAGUUACUGUGUUUACAUUUUUGAAAUCACAUGUUUGAAAGGUGUUUAUGAUGGGGACAGCCUAUCUAUGUUUAAAUAGAUGUUGAAGAAAUUAUAUGAGAAGAAUUGAUAGAAAGUUUUAUUUUUAAUUGUUUGCUUUGUAAUAUAUUUCUUGGGUGAGUGUAAAAAGUAGAUUUCAGAAGAUUUAUUUAUACUAUCAAUGCAUGUUUUAAAAUGCUGUUGUUUGAGUUGUAAAUAAAUAAUGAAAAAGGCAUUUUACAUGGCAUUGAAUCAAUCUGUUUCAGUUGUUCACCCUGGAUUUCUUUCAUUUAGUCAUCUUCUUCUUACUGCAAAGGAGGACAUUUGUUCAUUACUUUGCCUAAAUAAUACUAACAUACUAGCAGAUGGUCACUUUCCAACUGGUUUGUCUUCAGAAAAGAAAUUAAAAUAUUAUAGUGCCAGAGAGAGAUAUUAUAAUGCAUCCCUGUCAAAUUAACAGGUCAUUCUUUUCAACUGUUUUAUAACUGCAAAAUGGCUCAAUGUCACAUAAAAGGCUAAAAGCUAGAGUAAAUGGUAUCAUGGGAAAUAUGAAAUAAACACAGUGUAAUGAUUUAUAGUCUUUUCUUGAACACACUAGGAAUAUUUCUUUUCUAAAAAGACACAAAUUAUAUGCUACGGUAGUAUUUUGGUUGUACUGGAUUCUAGUUUAAUUAGUUCAUAUCAAAAGAUGGCAUUUGUUUUAAAACAUGUGUAUAUAUUCUGAAAGAAGACACUUCCCCCAAAACAUUUAAAAAUACCUUGAAUAUAUUUUUAAACGAAUAUGUUAGCCUAGCAAACAAUGAAAUGAAAACCAAAUAUGAACAUAAUGUAUCUUCUUCCUGCCCUUUAAUGAAUGAUCUGUAACUCUGAUAAAAAGAUUAGUUUAGAGACUAUUGAAUUAUUUUAAUUCUAGGACCAGACUGAAAGUAGCAUUGUACAUUUAGAAAUGCAACAUAUGAGUAGAAUUGGAUCCCUAUGUGAUUGGGAAAUAAGCUGGAGAAACUGAAGUAUGCUUAAAACACAGAGUAAUUAGCAAGCAAGCUCAGGAAAAAAAAAAAAUCUAAGAAUACUUAGAAGUAGUGUUUGAAGAACUAGAAUCAUCACAGUUUAAAUUAUUUGUUUUGAACUUUCUCUGUCACUGAAUUGCUGUGUAUCUUUGGGCAGUCACUUAGAUCAUUUCCCCAACUAGAACAUUAGUAAGUUGGCUUAGACAGCUCUUAAGUCCUUUUUUUGAAGUGUUAUAGCUAUUUGGUUGGUGAUCAAUUAAAAAAAAGUAUUUGCCUAAGUGAGCCAAGUAGAUUUAUAAUGAGAAAGAAGGAAGUUAUUAUAAUGAGUAUUCUUUAUAAUAUUAUUUAUUCUUCUGAAAAAAUCAAGUGAUAAUAGAAACCAAAAUAUAAAAUAUCAGAAUUCGAUUUGCAUUCCUUCUAAUUACUAGCACUGUGAACAAAAACAGGUCGUUUAGGUCAUCGUUGUGAGCCCGCUAUCAGCGGCCAGCGCGGGCGCGGCCGGAGACCGUGGGGCCUGCAGUGGCCGCCCCCUCAGGAGCCACCAUGUUGGUGGCUUCCGGACUGAGCGAGGAAGAGGAGGCUCUGCAGAAGAAAUUCAACAAACUCAAGAAAAAGAAAAAGGCACUGCUGACUCUGAAGAAGCAAAGUAGCAGCAGCACAACCAGCCAAGGCGGUGUCAAACGCUCACUAUCAGAGCAGCCUGUCGUGGACACAGCCACAGCAACAGAGCAGGCAAAGCAGCUGGUGAAGUCGGGAGCCAUCAGUGCCAUCAAGGCUGAGACCAAGAACUCAGGCUUCAAGCGUUCUCAAACCCUUGAGGGGAAGUUAAAGGACCCCGAGAAGGGACCAGUUCCCACUUUCCAGCCGUUCCAGAGGAGCGUAUCUGCUGAACCUGCGAGAGUCAUCCAGACGUCCCUAGAGGAAAUCUCUGUAUGAAAGCUUUGUGUCUUCUAGUGAUCGACUUUGAGAACUAGGGCCAGAUGGAGAAGAGGCAGAGGGCCCAGGGGCUGGCGAUGGUCCCCUUGAAGCUUUGACUGGGGCUCUGAAGAACGCAGUGGUGGCCACUCCUCAGCCUCCCCUCCCCGAAGCCGCAACCAUGAGAGGAACCGGGACAGAGACCGAGAUCGGGAGCAGGAUCGAGACCGGGAUCGAGAUAGAGACCGAGGGCAGGACAGGGAUCGGGAUCGAGAUUGAGACCGGCAAUGGGACAGGGAUUGGGAUCGAGAUCGAGACCGGGAACCGGACAGGGAUUGGGAUCCGGAGCGGCAUUGAGACCGAGACCGAGAGGGUCCUUUCCGCAGGUCGGACUCAUUCCUUGAACGGCGAGCCCCUAGGAAAGGGAAUACUCUCUAUGUAUAUGGAGAAGACUUGAUGCCUGCCCUUCUCUGUGGGGCCUUCUCUCCUUUUGGAAACAUCAUUGACCUCUCCAUGGACUCACCCAGAAACUGUGCCUUCGUCACCUAUGAAAAGAUGGAGUCAGCAGAUCAGGCGGUUGCUGAGCUCAACGGGACCCAGGUGGAGUCUGUACAGCUCAAAGUCAACAUAGCCGGGAAACAGCCCAUGCUGGAUGCCGCUACUGGCAAGUCUGUCUGGGGCUCCCUUGCUGUCCAGAACAGCCCUAAGGGUUGCCACCGGGACAAGAGGACCCAGAUUGUCUAGAGUGAUGACGUCUACAAGGAAAACCUUGUGGAUGGCUUCUAGGGAACAGAGCUGGAUUCCUUGUGUCUCAUAUGCCCCAAUGCUGGUCUCAGUAAAACACUGACGUGGAAGCUUAAAAACAAAAACAAAAACAAAAAAAAAGGUCGUUUAAAUGUGUUGUAUGGGCUUGGCGCGGUGGCUCACACCUGUAAUCCUAGCACUUUGGGAGGCCAAGGUGGGCCAAUAACUUGAGGCCAGGAGUCCUGAGGGCA
Non-coding RNA from Macaca mulatta (Rhesus monkey), 5070 nucleotides. NCBI's taxonomy places the organism in Eukaryota, Metazoa, Chordata, Mammalia, Primates, Cercopithecidae. The record is from RefSeq and is a predicted model, not a curated record.